GUAAGGAAUAUUGGACAAUGGACGCAAGUCUGAUCCAGCCAUGCCGCGUGAAGGAUUAAGGUCCUCUGGAUUGUAAACUUCUUUUAUAAGGGACGAAAAAAGGCUUUUCUAAGUCGUCUGACGGUACCUUAUGAAUAAGCACCGGCUAACUCCGUGCCAGCAGCCGCGGUAAUACGGAGGGUGCAAGCGUUAUCCGGAUUCACUGGGUUUAAAGGGUGCGUAGGCGGGCAGGUAAGUCAGUGGUGAAAUCCUAGAGCUUAACUCUAGAACUGCCAUUGAUACUAUCUGUCUUGAAUAUUGUGGAGGUAAGCGGAAUAUGUCAUGUAGCGGUGAAAUGCUUAGAUAUGACAUAGAACACCUAUUGCGAAGGCAGCUUACUACGCAUAUAUUGACACUGAGGCACGAAAGCGUGGGGAUCAAACAGGAUUAGAAACCCUAGUAGUCC
Molecule: ribosomal RNA, 445 nt
Filed under: uncultured bacterium
Lineage: Bacteria
Description: partial 16S ribosomal RNA
Rfam family: Bacterial small subunit ribosomal RNA
Source: RNAcentral